UUAGUGAUUUAGAACUGCUGCCACCGGGGCUAAAAUAAGCAAGAGCUAUUGGCCCGACUGCCACGUUGACUAUAAUGCAUAUGUACUACUUCACUAUAAAUUCUCCAUGCCCAGUCCUCACUCUCUGUUAUCUAGCUGCAUUAUCUAGAGCAGUUGUUACCAUAGCGUUAAGCAGUAUUGUGGCAUAGCUUCCCGUGGGCAAAUCCCGUUAGGAGCCAAAGCCUGACGUAACGCUUGUUGUUGUGUUGAAAGUGAAAUAAAGCCGCAGUCAAAAUAGUCAUCCCAAGAGCGGAUGCCACCGUCCGAACGAACGUCCAUAGGAUUGGACAUGCCUCUUGAUGGCGGUGAGGCUGAAAAACAGAUCAGCUUGGAGACGACGAUGAUCCGCCCGAGCGCCCUGCGACGCAUAGUCUGCCUCAGCCUAUUACGUUACGCAGCAGCAGAGGUCUGAGUCACGUAUCUAGGUGCGGAUAGCCGCCGUUGCGUGCCCGUGCAACGUCGCCACUGUUCCGAUUUCGUUGGCCAGAUUGCUUGCACUUACUUCAAAAUAACGUACGAUUCUGGGUAGAUGAGACAGUGUAGCAAUGUCUCAUUUUUGGAGUUUCGCUCUAUGUUCGCUUUCUCCCGAUAGACGCUAUCGUAUAGCAGAUGCAUCAGCGAAGGAUAUCGCCAUCAGAGCUUGCUUUCCUUGCAAUACCCGGCUGCUGGGACUGACUCGUACAGGUCAGCGCACACAUGAUGUUAUCGGAGCUCGUUCGUAUGCCAGUCAAUAGCGUACAACCCUUUUUCAAACAGUUCCUCGAUUUUGACGUUUGGACAGCUGGAUCUUAGCGUAUUCGUACAGCUUAAUUCUCAUAUCUCGCAACAGAAUCACAAAGUGACCAGCUACGCUUGAUGCGACCUUUUGUCAAACGAUGACACGGCGCCGGAUCACGCAAACUUGGGUUUGAGAAGUUUCGUGUUAUGCUUUCAACUCCGUCGUCACAUCAGGUACGGUGCGUGCGUGAUGAACCCGUUCGUUUUUGUUCGGAGCUAUUAUGUCUAGAGAUUAGAUGUUUCGUAACAGCUUAAUCCCGAACAGCCGUCAUCGAAUGGCCAGCAAGAUGGAAGGAGGUCGUACGACACAAUUCGAGACGACUGGGUUUGCAAUGACGAUUUGCAUUUCCGCGUGAGCGCUCACUGCCACCACCGCCGCUGUCUCCGCGCCAAAAGCCCUUUUCGCUUGUUGAACUUCCAUGUCAGACACGUUUAUAACUUUGCAUUAGGGCUAAGCUAGUGCUUCCGUUGUUGCUUGCUUUACUGCAGCAGGAAUCGUAUGAUUCAAGUGAUAGAUUCGGAGCAUAGGUCGGAUAAUCGGCGAACCACGGCAAGCAGCGAAAGGGCAAAGGAAACGAGGAUGGUAUCUGCGCGAUGAGUCUGAGGAUAUGAGCGGCGGGGGACUGUUCCGGCUGGGAGAGACCUAUUCGGACACGUUAGGACAUGAAGAAUUACCAGCCCAUCUUGGGGAUUGCAUCGAGUUGUUAUUGUUGUUGUAGCAAUAGAAGUCUAUGUGACCAUCACUUUCAUUUGGCAGCUAGUUGCGCUAUAUGAGCGUCUUGAACGUCUAAUAGAGCGAUGAAAGGCGAAUGUAUCAUAAUGGUUGAUACUGAUACUGGCCGAUAGCGGGGGCGGCGAUAUGGAAGUAAUAAGUCACCGACGCCCACUUUAAUCUAAUAUAGAAAUACCUACGUGCAUAAAUUAAUACGACUACGUCUGCGAGGACAGCAUUAGAGCGAUCCGAAUGUACGAUAUGCUGCCCUUAGCAGGCGGCGCGUCCGAUUCUGAAGAGUUGUGGCACAUAUAUUAAUGAAAUUUAUGAAGGAACUCGCCCCAUCUGCUCGUGCGUUCACAAUUUAUAACAGAAAUAAAGUACCUACCAUAUUGAGAAAUAGGUACGAUGUCGCUCGAAUCGAAUUAUGCCCAAAGCCUUUCUUUGAUAUAGUUUAUAUCAUUCGGCCGACAUAUGUGAAAUGGUACGUUGCCGCAGCUGUAGACGGGCCUAUUUGUAGUAAAUGAGUAAAAAUAAGGCAAGUUGUGGUUUACCGAAAAUGUUCUGGGCACGAUGCUGUUGACUGCUUAUUUUGACAUUAUGUUCUAAUAAAUUAAUUAAUGUUGUAAAAUCGAGUGUUCAAUUGGAAUUGUGCCUUGCUAUAGAAAAAAAGAUCAUAAACAAGCAAAUUGGACGAUUCAAGGCUUCUUUGCCUAAC
Varroa destructor (honeybee mite) is the source of this 2246-nucleotide long non-coding RNA. RefSeq lists it as uncharacterized. The record is from RefSeq and is a predicted model, not a curated record. Lineage: Eukaryota; Metazoa; Arthropoda; Arachnida; Mesostigmata; Varroidae.